RNAcentral lists this ribosomal RNA (395 nucleotides) under uncultured bacterium. RNAcentral describes it as "partial 16S ribosomal RNA". It matches the Rfam family "Bacterial small subunit ribosomal RNA", at positions 523 to 918 of the family's 1533-position model. The record is from RNAcentral.
AUACGUAGGGUGCAAGCGUUAAUCGGAAUUACUGGGCGUAAAGCGUGCGCAGGCGGUUUUGUAAGACAGUGGUGAAAUCCCCGGGCUCAACCUGGGAACUGCCAUUGUGACUGCAAGGCUGGAGUGCGGCAGAGGGGGAUGGAAUUCCGCGUGUAGCAGUGAAAUGCGUAGAUAUGCGGAGGAACACCGAUGGCGAAGGCAAACCCCUGGUCCUGCACUGACGCUCAUGCACGAAAGCGUGGGGAGCAAACAGGAGUAGAUACCCUGGUAGUCCACGCCCUAAACGAUGUCAACUGGUUGUUGGGGAUUUAUUUUCUCAGUAACGAAGCUAACGCGUGAAGUUGACCGCCUGGGGAGUACGGCCGCAAGGUUAAAACUCAAAUGAAUUGACGGGG